CUUCAUCUUUAAUUCUCUCUCUCACCACCUCCAUCCCACCACCACACCUCCAUCAUCAACACCACCGUCAGCCAUGGCUCCCUCCAAUGCUUGAUGGCUGGUCCAUCUCCUAGUUAUCAGGUUCCCCAACAAAACCCCAUCACCGGAGACACCACUUUCAGAGAUCUCGCCGAGGAUAUAGUCUCCGUCGAUGGUAUGACCCCUUAAAUGUUUUUGUUUUCGUGUUCGCCAGAAUAUUUAGUCAAAGGCUCGGUCAAUAGUGCCAAACGUGUGCUAGGUUUCGGAAGGUCAAAAGUUGCGUUUCAAUCUCAGAUGGUCAACGCUUUUGACUUCCCCAGAAAGUUCACUGUCUGCUUAUCUUCUCUAAAUCUUUGUCUUACACUCCAUUGAUGUCAGUGGAUGGGUACUAUGUGAAUGUUAAUUCCAUCAACAUCGCCGCCGCUACAACCUCCAAUGCCGAAGAAUCAUUCAGUUUAAUUUGAGUGCUAAUAACCCUAACGGAAAAUAUCACAUUCACAAAGUUCAGCUAGCGAGGAACUCUGUCACGUUGGUGGGGGUGAGACGGUGGUGGUGGGUGUUUGGAGGUGGCGGUAGUGCGAUGGUGGUAGCAGUGGUGCGGAUGAUGGUGGGGCAGUGGUGGGGAUGGUGGCUGUGCGGUGGUGUUUACACAGAGAGAGAGAGAGAAGAGACUUGUACUUAUGUGCAUAUAAGACUUGUACUCUGUGUGUAAAUAACCAAAUUACCCUCAUAGUUAACAGACUUGGUGGAUGGAGUUAGAAAUUUGGACUCAAAUGGUUAAAGAAAA
Molecule: long non-coding RNA, 805 nt
Organism: Helianthus annuus (common sunflower)
Lineage: Eukaryota; Viridiplantae; Streptophyta; Magnoliopsida; Asterales; Asteraceae
Exons: 2
Source: RefSeq, a predicted model, not a curated record